AUACUUACCUGGCGCGGGGGAUACCGUGAUCAAGAAGGCGGUGCCUCCAGGACGAGGCCUGUACAUUGCACUCCGUAUGGGCUGACUCCUGCGACUACCCAAAUCGGGGUGGCUCGAGCGCAUAAUUUUUGGUAGUGGGGACAAGCGUUCGCGCUGUCCCUU
This is a non-coding RNA of Macrostomum lignano, 162 nucleotides long. The record is from Rfam. Lineage: Eukaryota; Metazoa; Platyhelminthes; Macrostomidae.